RNAcentral lists this ribosomal RNA (253 nucleotides) under uncultured bacterium. Its description in RNAcentral is "partial 16S ribosomal RNA". It matches the Rfam family "Bacterial small subunit ribosomal RNA", at positions 524 to 776 of the family's 1533-position model. The record is from RNAcentral.
UACGAAGGGGGCGAGCGUUGUUCGGAUUUACUGGGCGUAAAGGGCGCGCAGGCGGCCCUCCAAGUCAGGCGUGAAAGCCCCGGGCUCAACCCGGGAAUAGCGCUUGAGACUGGGGGGCUUGAGUUCGGGAGAGGAGAGUGGAAUUCCCAGUGUAGAGGUGAAAUUCGUAGAUAUUGGGAAGAACACCGGUGGCGAAGGCGGCUCUCUGGACCGACACUGACGCUGAGGCGCGAAAGCGUGGGGAGCAAACAGG